Vicia faba (fava bean) is the source of this 222-nucleotide non-coding RNA. The record is from the annotation of a GenBank genome assembly. Lineage: Eukaryota; Viridiplantae; Streptophyta; Magnoliopsida; Fabales; Fabaceae.
AUGAGAAGUCCAGAGAGUGAGAGAGUGAUUGGAAUGUUGAUGAAACAGAUCAAAGAAUGGCUGUUAGGAUGUGAUGCCACUGGCCUUCUUGUUGGUUGCAGGGCUGCAAUAAUCAGCUUUGGAUGGAGCAAUGGUUUUGAAGCAAGGUUGAGAUUAUGGCCUGAAGUAUUGAAGUUCAACUUGAUUGAAAGGAUGAAGCAAAGUGAAGAUGAAAUUGCAUGA